UGGGGUAUAGCCAAGCGGUAAGGGACUUUGACUCCCUCAUGCGUUGGUUCGAAUCCAGCUACCCCAG
This 67-nucleotide transfer RNA is filed under the name Streptococcus pneumoniae. Its description in RNAcentral is "tRNA-Gln(ttg)". It matches the Rfam family "tRNA". Rfam says of the family: Transfer RNA (tRNA) molecules are approximately 80 nucleotides in length. Lineage: Bacteria; Bacillati; Bacillota; Bacilli; Lactobacillales; Streptococcaceae. The record is from RNAcentral.